This 490-nucleotide ribosomal RNA is filed under the name uncultured bacterium. RNAcentral's name for it is "partial 16S ribosomal RNA". It matches the Rfam family "Bacterial small subunit ribosomal RNA", at positions 30 to 507 of the family's 1533-position model. The record is from RNAcentral.
AUUGAACGCUGGCGGCAUGCUUUACACAUGCAAGUCGGACGGCAGCACAGAGAAGCUUGCUUCUUGGGUGGCGAGUGGCGAACGGGUGAGUAAUAUAUCGGAACGUACCGAGUAAUGGGGGAUAACUAAUCGAAAGAUUAGCUAAUACCGCAUAUUCUCUGAGGAGGAAAGCAGGGGACCUUCGGGCCUUGCGUUAUUCGAGCGGCCGAUAUCUGAUUAGCUAGUUGGUGGGGUAAAGGCCUACCAAGGCGACGAUCAGUAGCGGGUCUGAGAGGAUGAUCCGCCACACUGGGACUGAGACACGGCCCAGACUCCUACGGGAGGCAGCAGUGGGGAAUUUUGGACAAUGGGCGCAAGCCUGAUCCAGCCAUGCCGCGUGUCUGAAGAAGGCCUUCGGGUUGUAAAGGACUUUUGUCAGGGAAGAAAAGGCUGUUGCUAAUAUCAAUAGCUGAUGACGGUACCUGAAGAAUAGGCACCGGCUAACUACGUG